Non-coding RNA from Stegodyphus mimosarum, 73 nucleotides. The record is from Rfam. NCBI's taxonomy places the organism in Eukaryota, Metazoa, Arthropoda, Arachnida, Araneae, Eresidae.
GCCUUUGUGGUGUAGUGGUCAGCAUGCUGGGCGCGUCUUUCAGAGGUCCGUGUUUCGAGUCCCGGCAAGGGCA